CCCUUAGAUGUUCUGGGCCGCACGCGCGCUACACUGAUGCAUUCAACGAGUGUACCUUGGCCGAGAGGCCUGGACAAUCUUUUGAACGUGCAUCGUGAUAGGGAUAGAUUAUUGCAAUUAUUAAUCUUGAACGAGGAAUUCCUAGUAAACGCAGUUCAUCAAACUGCAUUGAUUACGUCCCUGCCCUUUGUACACACCGCCCGUCGCUCCUACCGAUUGAGUGGUCCGGUGAGGCUUUGGGAUCUGAGCGGAAAGAGCGUUUCGCUGUUUCUGCUCGGAAAACUCAGUCGAACCUUAUCAUUUAGAGGAAGGAGAAGUCGUAACA
Molecule: ribosomal RNA, 325 nt
Filed under: uncultured eukaryote
Lineage: Eukaryota
Description: partial 18S ribosomal RNA
Rfam family: Eukaryotic small subunit ribosomal RNA
Source: RNAcentral